AUUAUAAGAAAAUUUUGAAAUCUAAACUAUGUCUAUUCAUUUUCAGUGAUCAAUGAAGUAGAAGCCAUAUUGGAGUCAAACAAAACCAAAAAGAUUGUUGUUAUACCACUGAAAGAACUAACAAAAGAUGAAUUUGUUGAAAAUUAUAUGACCAAGAUCAAGUCUAG
Molecule: long non-coding RNA, 167 nt
Organism: Rhopalosiphum padi (bird cherry-oat aphid)
Lineage: Eukaryota; Metazoa; Arthropoda; Insecta; Hemiptera; Aphididae
Exons: 3
Source: RefSeq, a predicted model, not a curated record